RNAcentral lists this ribosomal RNA (867 nucleotides) under uncultured Bacillota bacterium. RNAcentral's name for it is "bacterial SSU rRNA". It matches the Rfam family "Bacterial small subunit ribosomal RNA", at positions 59 to 916 of the family's 1533-position model. Lineage: Bacteria; Bacillati; Bacillota. The record is from RNAcentral.
AAGUCGAGGGGAAACGAUAUUGGAAGCUUGCUUCCGAUAGGCGUCGACCGGCGCACGGGUGAGUAACGCGUAUCCAACCUGCCCAUCACUUGGGGAUAACCUUGCGAAAGUAAGACUAAUACCCAAUGAUAUCUCUAGAAGACAUCUGAAAGGGAUUAAAGAUUUAUCGGUGAUGGAUGGGGAUGCGUCUGAUUAGCUUGCUGGCGGGGUAACGGCCCACCAAGGCGACGAUCAGUAGGGGUUCUGAGAGGAAGGUCCCCCACAUUGGAACUGAGACACGGUCCAAACUCCUACGGGAGGCAGCAGUGAGGAAUAUUGGUCAAUGGACGAGAGUCUGAACCAGCCAAGUAGCGUGCAGGAUGACGGCCCUAUGGGUUGUAAACUGCUUUUAUAAGGGAAUAAAGUGAGUCUCGUGAGACUUUUUGCAUGUACCUUAUGAAUAAGGACCGGCUAAUUCCGUGCCAGCAGCCGCGGUAAUACGGAAGGUCCGGGCGUUAUCCGGAUUUAUUGGGUUUAAAGGGAGCGUAGGCCGGAGAUUAAGCGUGUUGUGAAAUGUAGACGCUCAACGUCUGCACUGCAGCGCGAACUGGUUUCCUUGAGUACGCACAAAGUGGGCGGAAUUCGUGGUGUAGCGGUGAAAUGCUUAGAUAUCACGAAGAACUCCGAUUGCGAAGGCAGCUCACUGGAGCGCAACUGACGCUGAAGCUCGAAAGUGCGGGUAUCGAACAGGAUUAGAUACCCUGGUAGUCCGCACGGUAAACGAUGGAUGCCCGCUGUUGGUCUGAAUAGGUCAGCGGCCAAGCGAAAGCAUUAAGCAUCCCACCUGGGGAGUACGCCGGCAACGGUGCAACUCAAAUGAAUUGACGG